Molecule: ribosomal RNA, 461 nt
Filed under: Streptococcus sp. oral taxon 064
Lineage: Bacteria; Bacillati; Bacillota; Bacilli; Lactobacillales; Streptococcaceae
Description: bacterial SSU rRNA
Rfam family: Bacterial small subunit ribosomal RNA
Source: RNAcentral
GACGAACGCUGGCGGCGUGCCUAAUACAUGCAAGUAGAACGCUGAAGGAGGAGCUUGCUCUUCUGGAUGAGUUGCGAACGGGUGAGUAACGCGUAGGUAACCUGCCUGGUAGCGGGGGAUAACUAUUGGAAACGAUAGCUAAUACCGCAUAAUAGUAGAUGUUGCAUGACAUUUGCUUAAAAGGUGCAAUUGCAUCACUACCAGAUGGACCUGCGUUGUAUUAGCUAGUUGGUGAGGUAACGGCUCACCAAGGCAACGAUACAUAGCCGACCUGAGAGGGUGAUCGGCCACACUGGGACUGAGACACGGCCCAGACUCCUACGGGAGGCAGCAGUAGGGAAUCUUCGGCAAUGGACGGAAGUCUGACCGAGCAACGCCGCGUGAGUGAAGAAGGUUUUCGGAUCGUAAAGCUCUGUUGUAAGAGAAGAACGAGUGCGAGAGUGGAAAGUUCACACUGUGAC